AGAGUUUGAUCCUGGCUCAGGAUGAACGCUGGCGGCGUGCCUAAUACAUGCAAGUCGAGCGAACAGACGAGGAGCUUGCUCCUCUGACGUUAGCGGCGGACGGGUGAGUAACACGUGGAUAACCUACCUAUAAGACUGGGAUAACUUCGGGAAACCGGAGCUAAUACCGGAUAAUAUAUUGAACCGCAUGGUUCAAUAGUGAAAGACGGUUUUGCUGUCACUUAUAGAUGGAUCCGCGCCGCAUUAGCUAGUUGGUAAGGUAACGGCUUACCAAGGCAACGAUGCGUAGCCGACCUGAGAGGGUGAUCGGCCACACUGGAACUGAGACACGGUCCAGACUCCUACGGGAGGCAGCAGUAGGGAAUCUUCCGCAAUGGGCGAAAGCCUGACGGAGCAACGCCGCGUGAGUGAUGAAGGUCUUCGGAUCGUAAAACUCUGUUAUUAGGGAAGAACAAAUGUGUAAGUAACUAUGCACGUCUUAACGGUACCUAAUCAGAAAGCCACGGCUAACUACGUGCCAGCAGCCGCGGUAAUACGUAGGUGGCAAGCGUUAUCCGGAAUUAUUGGGCGUAAAGCGCGCGUAGGUGGUUUUUUAAGUCUGAUGUGAAAGCCCACGGCUCAACCGUGGAGGGUCAUUGGAAACUGGAAAACUUGAGUGCAGAAGAGGAAAGUGGAAUUCCAUGUGUAGCGGUGAAAUGCGCAGAGAUAUGGAGGAACACCAGUGGCGAAGGCGACUUUCUGGUCUGUAACUGACGCUGAUGUGCGAAAGCGUGGGGAUCAAACAGGAUUAGAUACCCUGGUAGU
RNAcentral lists this ribosomal RNA (804 nucleotides) under uncultured bacterium. RNAcentral's name for it is "bacterial SSU rRNA". It matches the Rfam family "Bacterial small subunit ribosomal RNA", at positions 8 to 794 of the family's 1533-position model. The record is from RNAcentral.